AUGUUCCAGGGCUCGGGAAUUCCCGAGAAAAACCGGGAAAAGGCGGCUGGGAGCUGCCCUUAUCAGCCACGUGUAGCGGCCGGGGAGGGACGGGCUGAGCAAACAGGAACAGGAACCGGGGCGCACCGGGAGCUGCCGGGGGUCCCCACCCGCCGCACCCCGGCCCCGGGGCCCGCCUGUCCCCGGUGGGAGGGCCCGGGAAGGUUCCGGGAUCAGCCGAGCGUGGCUCCGGGGCAGGAACCGAGGGAAGGCGGCUCCCGAGCCCAGCGCUCCCCUGGCCGCGGGCACGGGGGGGGAUUCUCGGGGUCCUGUGGUGGUCCCGGGGUCCGGCACAGCUCCGUGUCCCCCAUCCCUGUCCCCAUCCGUGUCCCCGUGCCGCUGAGCCCUCCCAGAUGUCACCCCCGGCACGGCUUUGGGGGGGAUAAAAACCCCCCUUUUCCCUCUGGGACGUGGGGACAAGGGCACAGAGACUGCGGCCACCACCCCGCUGGUGGCCCCGGUGUCCCCAGCGCCCCUUCCCCGUGCCAGAGCCAGGCGGGACCAUCCCCGGAGUGUUCCCAGAGUGUCCCCGGGGGUCCCCAGAGUGUUCCCGGGGGUCCCCAGAGUGUCCCCGGGGUCCCACAUCCCAUUCCCAGCACGGACACCUCAUGCCGGUACCUCCUUCUGCCGCGUCCGGGGGUCCCGAGGUGUCCCGGGGGUGUCCCGGGGGUCUCGGGGGUGUUCCGGGAUGUCCCGGUUGUGUCUCGGAGGUGUCCCGGGGUGUCCCAGGGGUGUUCCGAGGUGUCCCGGGGGUGUCCCCAGUCCGGGGAUGUCCCCGGCGGGUGAUGCUGUCCCCACUCGGGCUGUCCCUGUCCCCAUCCCGUGUCCCUGUCCCCACCGUGUCUGUCGCUGUCCCCAUCCCGGGGCUGUCCCUGUCCCCACCGGGGCUGUCCCCACUCCAUGUCCCUGUCCCCGUGUCCCCACCCCAUGGCGCUGUCCCCAUGUCCCUGUCCCCACCGUGGCUAUCACUGUCCCCAUCCCGUGUCUGUCCCUGUCCCCAUGUCGCUGUCCCCAGCCGUGUCCCCAUGGCGCUGUCCCCGUGUCCCUGUCCCCAGCCGUGUCGCUGUCCCCAUGUCCCUGUCCCCGUGUCCCUGUCCCCAACCGUGCCCCUGUCCCCGUGUCCCUGUCCUCAUGUCGCUGUCCCCGUGUCGCUGUCCCCAUGUCGCUGUCCCCAUGGCGCUGUCCCCAGCUGUGUCCCUGUCCCCGUGUCCCUGUCCCCAUGUCCCUGUCCCCGUGUCGCUGUCCCCAGCUGUGUCCCUGUCCCCAUGUCGCUGUCCCCACCGUGUCGCUGUCCCCAGAGUGGCUGCAGGACCGGCGGCACUGCGGGCGGCGCUGGCAGGCUCAGGUGCAGCGGGUGCGGGAGCGGCUGCGGGAGGCGCUGCGGGACAUGCCCGAGCACCC
This 1440-nucleotide long non-coding RNA is filed under the name Parus major (Great Tit). RNAcentral describes it as "lncRNA (ENSPMJG00000004003.1)". The record is from RNAcentral. Lineage: Eukaryota; Metazoa; Chordata; Aves; Passeriformes; Paridae.